RNAcentral lists this ribosomal RNA (457 nucleotides) under uncultured bacterium. Its description in RNAcentral is "bacterial SSU rRNA". It matches the Rfam family "Bacterial small subunit ribosomal RNA", at positions 32 to 532 of the family's 1533-position model. The record is from RNAcentral.
AAUCAACGCUGGCGGCAGGCCUAACACAUGCAAGUCGAACGCAUCGCAAGAUGAGUGGCAGACGGGUGAGUAACGCGUGGGAACCUUCCCAGUGGUGCGGAAUAGCUCAGGGAAACUUGAGGUAAUACCGCAUGAGCCCGCAAGGGGAAAGAUUUAUCGCCAUUGGGUGGGCCCGCGUCGGAUUAGCUAGUUGGUGAGGUAACGGCUCACCAAGGCGACGAUCCGUAGCUGGUUUGAGAGAAUGACCAGCCACACUGGGACUGAGACACGGCCCAGACUCCUACGGGAGGCAGCAGUGGGGAAUAUUGGACAAUGGGCGCAAGCCUGAUCCAGCCAUGCCGCGUGAGUGACGAAGGCCUUAGGGUUGUAAAGCUCUUUUGGCGGGGACGAUAAUGACGGUACCGCAGAAUAAGCCCCGGCUAACUUCGUGCCAGCAGCCGCGGUAAGUGACGUCAGA